Molecule: ribosomal RNA, 328 nt
Filed under: uncultured eukaryote
Lineage: Eukaryota
Description: partial 18S ribosomal RNA
Rfam family: Eukaryotic small subunit ribosomal RNA
Source: RNAcentral
CCCUUAGAUGUCCUGGGCCGCCCGCGCGCUACACUGAUGCAUGCAACGAGUUUAUAACCUUGGCCUGAAAGGUCUGGGUAAUCUUUUGAACGUGCAUCGUGAUAGGGAUAGAUUAUUGCAAUUGUUAAUCUUGAACGAGGAAUUCCUAGUAAACGCGAGUCAUCAGCUCGCAUUGAUUACGUCCCUGCCCUUUGUACACACCGCCCGUCGCACCUACCGAUUGAAUGGUUCGGUGAAGAUCUCGGACUUCGAUAUUUAUUCUUUAUUGAGUUUAUAUUGUGGGAAGUUAUCUAAACCUCAUCAUUUAGAGGAAGGUGAAGUCGUAACA